RNAcentral lists this ribosomal RNA (1463 nucleotides) under uncultured Bordetella sp. RNAcentral's name for it is "partial 16S-23S ribosomal RNA intergenic spacer". It matches the Rfam family "Bacterial small subunit ribosomal RNA". The record is from RNAcentral. Lineage: Bacteria; Pseudomonadati; Pseudomonadota; Betaproteobacteria; Burkholderiales; Alcaligenaceae.
AGUUCGAUUCUGGCUCAGAUUGAACGCUGGCGGGAUACGUUUUUACACAUGCAAGUCGAAACGGCAGCGGCCUGGACUUCGUCUGGUGGCGAUGGGCGAACGGGUGAGUAAUGUAUCGGAACGUGCCUAGUAGCGGGGAGUGCCACAACUACGCGAAAGCGUAGCUAAUAGCCGCAUAAUGCCUCAAAGCGGGGACCUUCGGCCUCGCACUAUUAGAGCGGCCGAUAUCGGAUUAGCUAGUUGGUGGGGUAACGGCUCACCAAGGCGACGAUCUGCAGCUGGUUUGAGGACGGCCAGCCACACUGGGACUGGAGAGGCUGCCCAGACUCCUACGGGAGGCAGCAGUGGGGAAUUUUGACAAUGGGGAAACUCCUGAUCCAGCCAUCCUUCCGCGUGUGCGAUGAAGGCCUUCAAGCAGUAAAGCACUUUUGGCAGGAAGAAACGGCACGGAUAAUACCCCGUGCAACUGACGGUACCUGCAGAAUAAGCACCGGCUAACCAGCCGCACAGCAGCCGCGGUAAUACGUAGGUGCGUUAAUCGGAAUUACUGGGCGUAAAGCGUGCAGCAGGCGGUUCGGAAAGAAAGAUGUGAAAUCCAGAGCUUAAUCUUGGAAUCAUUUAACUACUGAGCUAGAGUGUGUCAGAGUGGAGGUGGAAUUCCGCGUGUAGCAGUGAAAUGCGUAGAUAUGCGGAGGAACACCGAUGGCGAAGGCAGCCUUCCUGAUAACACUGACGCUCAUGCACGAAAGCGUGGGGAGCAAACAGGAUUAGAUAUUCUGGUAGUCCACGCCCUAAACGAUGUCAACUAGCUGUUGGGGCCUUCGCCUUUGGUAGCGCAGCUAACGCAGGAAGUUGACCCGCCUGGGGAGUACGGUCGCAAGAUUAAAACUCAAAGGAAUUGAUUUGGACCACGCGGUGGAUGAUGUGGAUUAAUCUGAUGCAACGCGAAAACCUUACCUACCCUGACAUGUCUGGAAUCCCGAAGAGAUUUGGGAGUGCUCGCAAGAGAACCGAACACAGGAAAGGCUGCUGUCGUCAGUCGUGUCGUGAGAUGCUGGGUUAAGUCCCGCAACGAGCGCAACCCUUGUCAUUAGUUGCUACGAAAGGGCACUCUAUCGAGACUGCCGUGACAACUCUGAGGAAGGUGAUGACGUCAAGUCCUCAUGGCCCUUAUGGGUAGGGCUUCACACGUCAUACAAUGGUCGGGACAGUGGUCGCCAACCCGCGAGGGGAGCCAAUCCCAGAAACCCGAUCGUAGUCCGAUCGCAGUCUGCAACUCGACUGCGUGAAGUCGGAAUCGCUAGUAAUCGCGGAUCAGCAUGUCGCGGGUACGUUCCCGGGUCUUGUACACACUCGCCUGUCACUAUCUAAGGGAGUGGGUUUACCAGAAGUAGUUAGCCUAACCGCAAGGAGGCGCAAUUACCACGGUAGGAUUCAUGACUGGGGUGAAGUCAACAAGGUAG